This 429-nucleotide ribosomal RNA is filed under the name Acidobacteriota bacterium. RNAcentral's name for it is "Acidobacteria bacterium partial 16S ribosomal RNA". It matches the Rfam family "Bacterial small subunit ribosomal RNA", at positions 355 to 776 of the family's 1533-position model. Lineage: Bacteria; Pseudomonadati; Acidobacteriota. The record is from RNAcentral.
UGGGGAAUUUUGGACAAUGGGGGAAACCCUGAUCCAGCCAUCCCGCGUGUGCGAUGAAGGCCUUCGGGUUGUAAAGCACUUUUUGCAGGAAAGAAACGUCAUGGGUUAAUACCCCGUGAAACUGACGGUACCUGCAGAAUAAGCACCGGCUAACUACGUGCCAGCAGCCGCGGUAAUACGUAGGGUGCAAGCGUUAAUCGGAAUUACUGGGCGUAAAGCGUGCGCAGGCGGUUCGGAAAGAAAGAUGUGAAAUCCCAGAGCUCAACUUUGGAACUGCAUUUUUAACUACCGGGCUAGAGUGUGUCAGAGGGAGGUGGAAUUCCGCGUGUAGCAGUGAGAUGCGUAGAUAUGCGGAGGAACACCGAUGGCGAAGGCAGCCUCCGGGGAUAACACUGACGCUCAUGCACGAAAGCGUGGGGAGCAAACAGG